UACGUAGGGGGCGAGCGUUGUCCGGAUUUAUUGGGCGUAAAAGGCUUGUAGGUGGCCACGUCAAGUCGGAUGUGAAAUCUCCCGGCUCAACUGGGAGGGGUCAUUCGAUACUGGCGGGCUCGAGGCCGGUAGGGGGAAGCGGAAUUCCCGGUGUAGUGGUGGAAUGCGUAGAUAUCGGGAGGAACACCAGUGGCGAAGGCGACUUCCUGGCCUGUUCUUGACGCUGAGGCGCGAAAGCUAGGGGAGCAAACGGG
This 254-nucleotide ribosomal RNA is filed under the name uncultured bacterium. Its description in RNAcentral is "partial 16S ribosomal RNA". It matches the Rfam family "Bacterial small subunit ribosomal RNA", at positions 524 to 776 of the family's 1533-position model. The record is from RNAcentral.